RNAcentral lists this transfer RNA (69 nucleotides) under Ovis aries (sheep). It matches the Rfam family "tRNA". From Rfam's summary of the family: Transfer RNA (tRNA) molecules are approximately 80 nucleotides in length. Their secondary structure includes four short double-helical elements and three loops (D, anti-codon, and T loops). The record is from Rfam by way of RNAcentral. Lineage: Eukaryota; Metazoa; Chordata; Mammalia; Artiodactyla; Bovidae.
CCUGGUGGCUCAGAGGGUAAAGCGUCUGCCUGCAGUGCAGGAGACCCGGGUUCGACCCCUGGGUCAGGA